UUUGAACUUUGAAUUCUGGUCCUCUGACUCCAAAUUAAAUGAAGUUCAAGGUCCUUCUCCUCUACUUACCCUUGAACACUCCAGUGACCCGAUGGCUCUGAAGUUCUGAUAUAGGCAGUAAUGGUCCCACUGGGUGUACCAGGCCAACAAAGGCCAAUGUUGGUUAUUUCAGCCUAGGAGAGAACACUCUAUUAUAUAGGGAGAGGUGAUUGUCAAUGAUAUUAAUAGAGUCUUCCAAGAAUAGGAAAGAGAAGGUGUAUCCUGUGGCAAAGAUGACCACAUCAAUGUACUCCACAAUGCUGCCAUAUUCAAAAAUGGCUGCUGUCUCUGUGAACUCCUUCACAUUUGGUUUCAUCAUUAUUCUUCCAGAAAUGAUGUGGUUGGGUAGGUUGUCAGUGAUGCUUAUUUGAGAGUUUAGAAAUCUUCAUGACAAAGGGAGAUGGUACUUAUUUCAUUCACCCAUUUAUUCCUUCUUUCCUCAAAAUAGUCAUGACUUUUGAGUGCUGAUGGAAACUUUCUAGCUCUUCCCCUCUUCAGACCACUAUACUUCUUGAAUUGAGAUCCAACAUUUGGUGGAUAGAUAAAGUUGUCAUCAGCAUCACUUAUCCUAAUCUCUUGCCAUUCCUUUUAUUUCUUUCUUAUGAAUGUGAAUGGGGUCAAAUAUGUUGAUGUAUGCCUGUAAUAGCUGUUACUAGAGAAGGCUAAGGUUUAGGGAAUUCCUUGAGUUUGGGAGUUCUAAACUGAAGUAGGGCUAAAGCAAAUGGAGAGUCUUCACUGAGCCAGGCACUAAUAUGCUAUGAAGAAUAGAAUAUGACCUCCUUGAACAAAAAACUCUAUCUUCCAACUCCAGGCAUUUUCACAGCCUUUUUCCUUUGCCUGAAAUGUUCUCCUGCCUUGUUUCUGCCUCCUGGAUUCCCUGACUUCCUUCAAGUCUCAGGUCAAGGACUCACUCCUGCCUGAGACUCAGAAAGCAUGACAACUAGAAAAGGAGAGAGAUUUGUGAGUAAAUUGGGGGUGGAGGACAUUGGAGAAGAGAGAAGGAAACAUACACAAAGCAAUUAUGCCAGACUUUGGAGGGAGACAAAGGCAACAAUGAAAAGGAAAUCUUCCACAAGAUCUUUUCACAUUCAAAGGAAACCCAUGGAGGACCAUUGCUGUUCUUUAUGUUAUCUUCAACUUGAAUCCCUUGAAGAUUUACAACCAGAGAGCAUUGCUAGGAGAAUACUUUUCAUGAAAAGAUGAUUCUUUUAUAUCAGGGAGCAGUUUGAAAUCAUUAAAAAAAUACUAAGCAAU
Molecule: long non-coding RNA, 1293 nt
Filed under: Monodelphis domestica (gray short-tailed opossum)
Lineage: Eukaryota; Metazoa; Chordata; Mammalia; Didelphimorphia; Didelphidae
Description: lncRNA (ENSMODG00000048759.1)
Source: RNAcentral